RNAcentral lists this ribosomal RNA (541 nucleotides) under uncultured bacterium. RNAcentral's name for it is "partial 16S ribosomal RNA". It matches the Rfam family "Bacterial small subunit ribosomal RNA", at positions 355 to 887 of the family's 1533-position model. The record is from RNAcentral.
UGGGGAAUUUUGGACAAUGGGCGCAAGCCUGAUCCAGCAAUGCCGCGUGCAGGAUGAAGCACUUCGGGUUGUAAACNGCUUUUGUACGGAACGAAAAGCCUCUCUCUAAUACAGGGGGGUGAUGACGGUACCGUAAGAAUAAGCACCGGCUAACUACGUGCCAGCAGCCGCGGUAAUACGUAGGGUGCAAGCGUUAAUCGGAAUUACUGGGCGUAAAGCGUGCGCAGGCGGUUUUGUAAGACAGUGGUGAAAUCCCCGGGCUCAACCUGGGAACUGCCAUUGUGACUGCAAGGCUGGAGUGCGGCAGAGGGGGAUGGAAUUCCGCGUGUAGCAGUGAAAUGCGUAGAUAUGCGGAGGAACACCGAUGGCGAAGGCAAUCCCCUGGGCCUGCACUGACGCUCAUGCACGAAAGCGUGGGGAGCAAACAGGAUUAGAUACCCUGGUAGUCCACGCCCUAAACGAUGUCAACUGGUUGUUGGGGGAUUUAUUUCUUCAGUAACGAAGCUAACGCGUGAAGUUGACCGCCUGGGGGAGUACGGCC